AGCGGCGGAUGGGUGAGUGACACGUGGGGAACCUGCCCCUAAGUCUGGGAUACCAUUUGGAAACAGGUGCUAAUACCGGAUAAUAAAGCAGAUCGCAUGAUCAGCUUUUGAAAGGCGGCGUAAGCUGUCGCUAAGGGAUGGCCCCGCGGUGCAUUAGCUAGUUGGUAAGGUAACGGCUUACCAAGGCGACGAUGCAUAGCCGAGUUGAGAGACUGAUCGGCCACAUUGGGACUGAGACACGGCCCAAACUCCUACGGGAGGCAGCAGUAGGGAAUCUUCCACAAUGGACGCAAGUCUGAUGGAGCAACGCCGCGUGAGUGAAGAAGGUUUUCGGAUCGCAAAGCUCUGUUGUUGGUGAAGAAGGAUAGAGGUAGUAACUGGCCUUUAUUUGACGGUAAUCAACCAGAAAGUCACGGCUAACUACGUGCCAGCAGCCGCGGUAAUACGUAGGUGGCAAGCGUUGUCCGGAUUUAUUGGGCGUAAAGCGAGCGCAGGCGGAAAAAUAAGUCUAAUGUGAAAGCCCUCGGCUUAACCGAGGAACUGCAUCGGAAACUGUUUUUCUUGAGUGCAGAAGAGGAGAGUGGAACUCCAUGUGUAGCGGUGGAAUGCGUAGAUAUAUGGAAGAACACCAGUGGCGAAGGCGGCUCUCUGGUCUGCAACUGACGCUGAGGCUCGAAAGCAUGGGUAGCGAACAGGAUUAGAUACCCUGGUAGUCCAUGCCGUAAACGAUGAGUGCUAAGUGU
Molecule: ribosomal RNA, 743 nt
Filed under: uncultured bacterium
Lineage: Bacteria
Description: bacterial SSU rRNA
Rfam family: Bacterial small subunit ribosomal RNA
Source: RNAcentral